GGAGCUAAGCUCAGGCCGCGAGGCGUAGGCGAUGCACAUACGGUAGAAAUUCCGUAACCACCGAACUUUAAGCAUGAGGGACACUUUGAGAUAGCGGAACCCGGGCGUUGGUUGACCCGGGCGAAAGGGACCGAAAUAUAGUAGGGAAGUCCGUGAUGCUCGGAGGCGAGAAAAGCUCAUGUGUAUACUAAGGUGCCCGUACCGCAAACCGACACAGGUAGAUGAGGAGAGAAUCCUAAGGCCAACGGGAGAAGGGUUGUUAAGGAACUCGGCAAGAUGACCCCGUAACUUCGGAAGAAGGGGAGCCUCGAAAGAGGCCGCAGUGAAUAGGCCCAAGCAACUGUUUACCAAAAACACAGGUUUAUGCUAAAUCGAAAGAUGACGUAUAUGAGCUGACGCCUGCCCGGUGCCGGAAGGUUAAGAGGAGAUGUCAACCGCAAGGUGAAGCAUUGAAUUGAAGCCCCGGUAAACGGCGGCCGUAACGAUAACGGUCCUAAGGUAGCGAAAUUCCCUGUCAGGUAAGUUCUGACCCGCACGAAAGGCGUAAUGAUUUGGGCACUGUCUCAACAGCCCGCCCGGCGAAAUUGUAGUACUGGUGAAGAUGCCAGUUACCCGCAACUAGACGGAAAGACCCCAUGGAGCUUUACUGCAGCUUAAUACUGGAAUUCGGUAAAUCAUGUACAGGAUAGGUGGGAGACAGGGAAGCAUUGGCGUCACCCAGUGUGGAGUCGCUGGUGGGAUACCACUCUUGAUUUGCUGGGUUUCUAACCUGCGGCCGUGAAUCCGGUCGGGGGACACUGUUAGGCGGGCAGUUUGACUGGGGCGGUCGCCUCCAAAAGAGUAACGGAGGCGCUCAAAGGUUGGCUCAGCACGGACGGAAAUCGUGCAAUGAGUGUAAACGUAUAAGCCAGCCUAACUGCGAGACCGACGGGUCGAGCAGUAACGAAAGUUGGAGUUAGUGAUCCGGUGGUAUGUGAGUGGAAAUGCCAUCGCUCAACGGAUAAAAGCUACCCUGGGAUAACAGGCUGAUCUCCCCCAAGCGUCCACAGCGACGGGGAGGUUUGGCACCUCGAUGUCGGCUCGUCACAUCCUGGGGCUGUAUUCGGUCCCAAGGGUUCGGCUGUUCGCCGAUUAAAGUGGCACGCGAGCUGGGUUCAGAACGUCGUGAGACAGUUCGGUCCCUAUCUGUUGCGGGCGAAAGAGAUUUGAAGGGAGCUGUCCUUAGUACGAGAGGACCGGGAUGGACGUACCUCUGGUGCACCAGUUGUCCUGCCAAGGGCAUAGCUGGGUAGCUAUGUACGGACGAGAUAAACGCUGAAAGCAUCUAAGCGUGAAACUCCCCCUAAGAUGAGGUCUCUCAUCCUUCAUGGAGUAAGGGCCCAGGAAGACUACCUGGUUGAUAGGCAAGAGGUGGAAGCGCAGUAAUGUGUGUAGCUGACUUGUACUAAUAGCCCGAGGGCUUGAUCAA
This 1468-nucleotide ribosomal RNA is filed under the name metagenome. Its description in RNAcentral is "bacterial LSU rRNA". It matches the Rfam family "Bacterial large subunit ribosomal RNA", at positions 1387 to 2925 of the family's 2925-position model. The record is from RNAcentral.